GAUGAACGCUGGCGGCGUGCCUAAUACAUGCAAGUCGAGCGAACAGACGAGGUGCUUGUUCCACCUACGUGAGCGGCGGACGGGUGAGUAACACGUGGAUAACCUACCUUUGAGCCGGGGACAACUUUGGGAAACCGAUGCUAAUACCGCAUAAUAUAUUUAACCACAUGGUUUAAGAGUGAAAGAUGGUUUUGCAUCACCUUAUGAUGAGAUCCCCUUGGCUUAAGCUAGUUGGUAGGGUAACGGCCUACCAAGGCAACGUAGCGUAGCCGACCUGGGAGGGGGAUCGGCCACACGGGAACUAGAACACGGUCAAAACCCCUACGGAGGGCGGAGGAGGGGAAUCUCCGGCAAUGAGCGAAAGCCUGACGGAGCACCGCGGCGUGGGUGAGGAAGGUCUUCGGAUCGUAAAACUCGGUGAUAGGGGAAGAACAAGGGUGUAGUGAACAGUGCACCAAUUGACGGUAACUACUCAGAAAGCGACGGCUAACUACGUG
This 497-nucleotide ribosomal RNA is filed under the name uncultured bacterium. RNAcentral describes it as "partial 16S ribosomal RNA". It matches the Rfam family "Bacterial small subunit ribosomal RNA", at positions 28 to 507 of the family's 1533-position model. The record is from RNAcentral.